Homo sapiens (human) is the source of this 2103-nucleotide long non-coding RNA. Ensembl annotates it as small nucleolar RNA host gene 17. Its record names the gene SNHG17. The record is from Ensembl. Lineage: Eukaryota; Metazoa; Chordata; Mammalia; Primates; Hominidae.
GUAGCUUCCUUGUCGUGUGGCCUCAGUCCUUCGCCGUCCCUCGCCGUCCUUCGCCAUCGCACGCCACCGCACCCCAUCUCUCGAAAUCUGCAGACAUCUUGAUUUUUCCCACGCUGUCUGUCAGGUCUCCGCCGCCACUCGACGCCAGGGCGCCGGGCCUUGUGGGCUGUGCUGCACCUCGGACGGCUUCGCACCAGCCAGCGCCCUCUCUCUCCUGCAGCACUCUGAUCUGCACCCCCUGAGGGGCUUCCACUGUCCGCGGGGUGAGAAUGCCCCUGGGAGUGUCACAUGACUGCCGCCCCAUGUGUGUGAGAGGCGUCCUCUGGGAGAGCAUGGAUCCUGAGGUCCCAGGAUUGUCAGCUGACCUCUGUCCUGUGUGCCCAGUGGCCCCAGGUGACGUGUCUUCAAGAAGAGGCUGAGCUGCGGUGCUUGUAAGGCAGGGUCUCAUUCUGUCACCCAGGCUGGAGUGCAGUGGUGCAAUGAUGGCUCACUGCAGCCUCGACCUGGGCUCAAGUGAUCCUCCACCUCAGCUUCCUGAGUAGCUGGGACCACAGAGUCAUGUGCUGUUCCUGGGGCUUGGAUGAUGUAGGGGAAGCAAGGUGAAAGUGGUAUCCCGUGGUUCCACGUUCUGUCCUGCUGUGGGGCUGUCCCUCACAUGCUUUCAGUGGCUGUUGCAGAGGAAGAGCCUCCGGAAAUCUGCGUGGGUAAAGUGAGCUCCCCGGGGGAACCGUCCUCCUCCCUUGAGCGCUGGUGUGUCCAUAGUGUGCUGUGAUCUGGAUUAGCAGUGAGUUUUUCUUUCAGGGUGUGUGUGUAUGAUGUUAGGACCAUAUGCUCCUGACCUUUUCCAACCCAAAAGCGUUUCCAUUUUUUUAAUGCUGGAAGUGUCUUAACUCCUUUUGGGGUCUUAGAAGGACACACGGUGGCCGUGGCUGGGCCUCUGCUCAGCUGGGCUGCUCUCCCUGCCUCAGGCCCUUGACACCAGCCUCCCUCCCUUGCUGGCUCUCUUUCUGUCCUUCCCUGCUCUUGUAUCCAAAAGUGAUCAUGGGUUGCCUGUGUCCCGAUCAUUAACAGUGCAGGGGUAGGAGUGCUGAAAGACAUCUUCCCUGCGUUGGUCCAGCCUUCCCUUUCAAACCCUGGAGCUUUCCCACGCUGCAGCCUUUUUCCAACUAGGCUUUCAGAGCUUGGGCCUUUGUGGGCCCAUGUGAUGUGGUGACUAGACCCACCCCCUGACUUCUGAGGGUUCAUUUUGUCUUUUCAUGUUAGGGAUCCUCCUGCCAGAAACCAGUCUGCAUUUCUCUCUGGGCCCCACGCUGGAAUGAAUUCAGAUAGCAGUGAAGGGCACACGUGAGAACUGCGAAUCACGGGCUUUGCUUCAUGAAAUGUGAAAUCCACAUUGUUUCCACAGGCACCAUCAGUAAUGUCGAACAAAUGGAGAAAGUUGCAGGUGGGGCUAGGAAAGCUGUAUUCCUGUGGAUUACUCUAGCUGGUCAUUUGCCCCGAUUGUGAACUGCUUGAAAGAAAAACGAAACUUCUAAGAUGUUUGUCCUUUCAUGUCCUUUCUGUUGGGAUUUUUUAUUUGGUGUGCGUGAAUGAGGAGCUUCGCCCUGCUUGAAUGGGACCCCUCUCAGUGGUGUCAGCUUGGGGAGGAGGAGAUGGCCCUGGAGACUAAAUACUUGUAUGCUUUCUUACCCUCUUAGGUCUCAGCCUUAGAUCCAAGGACAGUCCAAGGAAGUCCUAAGACCAUGGAGUUGGUGAUCUGGGAUCUGGGUUUGCUGAUAUUUCUCACCGUGAAUCUCUUGGUGGUGUUUGUGGGCACGAGAGGGGCAGAGAAUGGAGAGUGAGGCUACCACAUGAAGCGUCACCAGAGCUGCUCCCUGCUGCCUGCUCAGAGCACCCCGGAUCCACUGUUCAAUCUGCACAAGAUUCGGGGUCCAGACAUGGGAGACUUCAGCUGCCUCAGAGGACCGUGGACAGGGAAGGCCAGCCUCGCAUCCCUCUGUCCAUGCCUGGAAUGACUUUAAUAACCAAGAGUUUUAUUUUUGAAUUUGUAGCUGUCGUUCACUUUUUACCCACCCAUUCAAUAAACCUUACAGAAUUGCUCCA